AUGCUGAUCACCCCAUUUGAUUUCAUUGCCAUCGCUAUUACUGCUCAGGCUUAUAAUUGGACAAGACCCUGCCUCUCCCCAACUCCCUUGCAGAUCAAAGAAAUUCAUUUAGAACACGCUGAGAAGGUCCUCAUUUCUCUUCACCAGCACAAGUUUCUUAUGGACUACCCAUAAACGCAGAAGAUGAACUGUGACAGCUUCCCCACAAAAUAAACUGCUUUAAAAUGCUCA
RNAcentral lists this long non-coding RNA (231 nucleotides) under Monodelphis domestica (gray short-tailed opossum). RNAcentral describes it as "lncRNA (ENSMODG00000041380.1)". Lineage: Eukaryota; Metazoa; Chordata; Mammalia; Didelphimorphia; Didelphidae. The record is from RNAcentral.